GAAUUCCUUGACGGAGAGUUUGAUCCUGGCUCAGGGUGAACGCUGGCGGCGUGCCUAACACAUGCAAGUCGAGCGGGGAAGCCUAAGGCCCCUUCGGGGGUACGGCUUCCUAGCGGCAAACGGGUGAGUAACACGUGGGUGACCUGCCCCGAAGAGGGGGAUAACCCCUGGAAACGGGGGCUAAUACCCCAUGUGCUUCGUGGGGUUAGAGGCCCACGAAGUAAAGGGUUCGGUUCCCGAAAGGGGCCGUUCCGCUUCGGGAGGGGCCCGCGGCCCAUCAGGUAGUUGGUGGGGUAAUGGCCUACCAAGCCUUAGACGGCUAGCGGGUGUGAGAGCAUGACCCGCCGCAUCGGAACUGAGACACUGUCCGGACUCCUACGGGAGGCUGCAGUAACGAAUAUUCCGCAAUGCACGAA
RNAcentral lists this ribosomal RNA (416 nucleotides) under Chloroflexota bacterium. RNAcentral describes it as "bacterial SSU rRNA". It matches the Rfam family "Bacterial small subunit ribosomal RNA", at positions 1 to 379 of the family's 1533-position model. Lineage: Bacteria; Bacillati; Chloroflexota. The record is from RNAcentral.